RNAcentral lists this ribosomal RNA (870 nucleotides) under uncultured bacterium. RNAcentral describes it as "bacterial SSU rRNA". It matches the Rfam family "Bacterial small subunit ribosomal RNA", at positions 28 to 896 of the family's 1533-position model. The record is from RNAcentral.
GAUGGACGCUAGCGACAGGCCUAACACAUGCAAGUCGAGGGGCAGCACAAGGAGCAAUCUGAGGUGGCGACCGGCGCACGGGUGAGUAACACGUAUGCAACCUACCUGUAAGAGGGGAAUAACCCGUUGAAAAACGGACUAAUACCGCAUAACACUGUAGAACCGCAUGGUUUGACAGUUAAACAUUUAUGGCUUACAGAUGGGCAUGCGCAUGAUUAGCUAGUUGGUGAGGUAACGGCUCACCAAGGCAACGAUCAUUAGGGGUUCUGAGAGGAAGGUCCCCCACACUGGUACUGAGACACGGACCAGACUCCUACGGGAGGCAGCAGUGAGGAAUAUUGGUCAAUGGGCGAGAGCCUGAACCAGCCAAGUCGCGUGAAGGAUGAAGGUUUUAUGAAUUGUAAACUUCUUUUGCAGGGGAAUAAAGUGUCCGACGUGUCGGAUUUUGUAUGUACUCUGCGAAUAAGGAUCGGCUAACUCCGUGCCAGCAGCCGCGGUAAUACGGAGGAUCCAAGCGUUAUCCGGAUUUAUUGGGUUUAAAGGGUGCGCAGGCGGGUUGAUAAGUCAGCGGUGAAAGUUUGCAGCUUAACUGUAAAAUUGCCGUUGAAACUGUCGAUCUUGAGUGCAAAUGAGGUAAGCGGAAUGUGUUGUGUAGCGGUGAAAUGCUUAGAUAUAACACAGAACACCGAUUGCGAAGGCAGCUUACUGGGAUGCAACUGACGCUCAUGCACGAAAGCGUGGGGAUCAAACAGGAUUAGAUACCCUGGUAGUCCACGCAGUAAACGAUGAAUACCAACUGUUUGCGAUAUACAGUAAGCGGUACAGCGAAAGCGUUAAGUAUUCCACCUGGGGAGUACGUUCGCAAGAAUG